RNAcentral lists this ribosomal RNA (254 nucleotides) under uncultured bacterium. RNAcentral's name for it is "partial 16S ribosomal RNA". It matches the Rfam family "Bacterial small subunit ribosomal RNA", at positions 524 to 776 of the family's 1533-position model. The record is from RNAcentral.
CACGUAGGGCGCAAGCGUUGUCCGGAAUUAUUGGGCGUAAAGAGCUCGUAGGCGGUCCGUCACGUCCGCUGUGAAAACCCAGGGCUCAACCCUGGGCUUGCAGUGGAUACGGGCAGACUAGAGGUAGGUAGGGGAGAAUGGAAUUCCCGGUGUAGCGGUGAAAUGCGCAGAUAUCGGGAGGAACACCGGUGGCGAAGGCGGAUCUCUGGGCCUGUCCUGACGCUCAGGCGCGAAAGCUAGGGGGAGCAAACAGG